GGCGAGAUAGCCGAACGGUACAAGCCGCUGCUUUUAGGCACCAGUCCCUUCGAGGGCGUGGGUUCGAAUCCCACUCUCGUCA
Molecule: transfer RNA, 82 nt
Filed under: Angiostrongylus costaricensis
Lineage: Eukaryota; Metazoa; Nematoda; Chromadorea; Rhabditida; Metastrongylidae
Rfam family: tRNA
About the family: Transfer RNA (tRNA) molecules are approximately 80 nucleotides in length. Their secondary structure includes four short double-helical elements and three loops (D, anti-codon, and T loops). Further hydrogen bonds mediate the characteristic L-shaped molecular structure. tRNAs have two regions of fundamental functional importance: the anti-codon, which is responsible for specific mRNA codon recognition, and the 3' end, to which the tRNAs corresponding amino acid is attached (by aminoacyl-tRNA synthetases). tRNAs cope with the degeneracy of the genetic code in two manners: having more than one tRNA (with a specific anti-codon) for a particular amino acid; and 'wobble' base-pairing, i.e. permitting non-standard base-pairing at the 3rd anti-codon position.
Source: Rfam by way of RNAcentral